RNAcentral lists this ribosomal RNA (249 nucleotides) under Salmonella enterica subsp. enterica serovar Senftenberg. RNAcentral's name for it is "partial 16S ribosomal RNA". It matches the Rfam family "Bacterial small subunit ribosomal RNA", at positions 1285 to 1533 of the family's 1533-position model. RNAcentral also lists the same sequence under 1 other name. The record is from RNAcentral. Lineage: Bacteria; Pseudomonadati; Pseudomonadota; Gammaproteobacteria; Enterobacterales; Enterobacteriaceae.
GUAGUAGUCCGGAUUGGAGUCUGCAACUCGACUCCAUGAAGUCGGAAUCGCUAGUAAUCGUGGAUCAGAAUGCCACGGUGAAUACGUUCCCGGGCCUUGUACACACCGCCCGUCACACCAUGGGAGUGGGUUGCAAAAGAAGUAGGUAGCUUAACCUUCGGGAGGGCGCUUACCACUUUGUGAUUCAUGACUGGGGUGAAGUCGUAACAAGGUAACCGUAGGGGAACCUGCGGUUGGAUCACCUCCUUA